UACAGAGGUGGCAAGCGUUGUUCGGAAUUACUGGGCGUAAAGGGCGCGUAGGCGGUCCGAUAAGUCCCGUGUGAAAUCCCUCGGCUCAACUGAGGAACCGCACGGGAAACUGCCGGGCUUGAGUUCGGGAGAGGGAAGCGGAAUUCCGGGUGUAGCGGUGAAAUGCGUAGAUAUCCGGAGGAACACCGGUGGCGAAGGCGGCUUCCUGGACCGAUACUGACGCUGAGGCGCGAAAGCUAGGGGAGCAAACGGG
Molecule: ribosomal RNA, 253 nt
Filed under: uncultured bacterium
Lineage: Bacteria
Description: partial 16S ribosomal RNA
Rfam family: Bacterial small subunit ribosomal RNA
Source: RNAcentral